Molecule: ribosomal RNA, 490 nt
Filed under: uncultured bacterium
Lineage: Bacteria
Description: partial 16S ribosomal RNA
Rfam family: Bacterial small subunit ribosomal RNA
Source: RNAcentral
GAUGAACGCUAGCGAUAGGCUUAACACAUGCAAGUCGAGGGGCAGCAUGGUCUUAGCUUGCUAAGACUGAUGGCGACCGGCGCACGGGUGCGUAACGCGUAUGCAACUUGCCUCACAGAGGGGGAUAACCCGUCGAAAGACGGACUAAUACCGCGUACACUCCAUCUUGGGCAUCCAAGGUAGAGGAAAUGAAAUUCGCUGUGAGAUAGGCAUGCGUCCCAUUAGCUAGUUGGUGAGGUAACGGCUCACCAAGGCGACGAUGGGUAGGGGAACUGAGAGGUUGAACCCCCACACUGGUACUGAGACACGGACCAGACUCCUACGGGAGGCAGCAGUGGGGAAUAUUGGUCAAUGGGCGAGAGCCUGAACCAGCCAAGUCGCGUGAAGGAUGACUGUCUUAUGGAUUGUAAACUUCUUUUAUACGGGAAUAACAAGAGUCACGUGUGACUCCCUGCAUGUACCGUAUGAAUAAGCAUCGGCUAACUCCGUG